GACGGCUUGGUGUAGUGGUAGCAUGUUUGAUUCCAGUCUUCUGCGGGAACUCCAAAUGGUCAUCGGUUCAAAUCCGAUAGUCGUCA
RNAcentral lists this transfer RNA (86 nucleotides) under Lachnellula suecica. It matches the Rfam family "tRNA". From Rfam's summary of the family: Transfer RNA (tRNA) molecules are approximately 80 nucleotides in length. Their secondary structure includes four short double-helical elements and three loops (D, anti-codon, and T loops). Further hydrogen bonds mediate the characteristic L-shaped molecular structure. tRNAs have two regions of fundamental functional importance: the anti-codon, which is responsible for specific mRNA codon recognition, and the 3' end, to which the tRNAs corresponding amino acid is attached (by aminoacyl-tRNA synthetases). tRNAs cope with the degeneracy of the genetic code in two manners: having more than one tRNA (with a specific anti-codon) for a particular amino acid; and 'wobble' base-pairing, i.e. permitting non-standard base-pairing at the 3rd anti-codon position. Lineage: Eukaryota; Fungi; Ascomycota; Leotiomycetes; Helotiales; Lachnaceae. The record is from Rfam by way of RNAcentral.